GACGAACGCUGGCGGCUGUGCUUAACACAUGCAAGUCGAACGGAAAGGCCCUGCUUUUGUGGGGUGCUCGAGUGGCGAACGGGUGAGUAACACGUGAGUAACCUGCCCUUGACUUUGGGAUAACUUCAGGAAACUGGGGCUAAUACCGGAUAGGAGCUCCUGCUGCAUGGUGGGGGUUGGAAAGUUUCGGCGGUUGGGGAUGGACUCGCGGCUUAUCAGCUUGUUGGUGGGGUAGUGGCUUACCAAGGCUUUGACGGGUAGCCGGCCUGAGAGGGUGACCGGCCACAUUGGGACUGAGAUACGGCCCAGACUCCUACGGGAGGCAGCAGUGGGGAAUAUUGCACAAUGGGCGGAAGCCUGAUGCAGCAACGCCGCGUGCGGGAUGACGGCCUUCGGGUUGUAAACCGCUUUCGCCUGUGACGAAGCGUGAGUGACGGUAAUGGGUAAAGAAGCACCGGCUAACUACGUGCCAGCAGCCGCGGUGAUACGUAGGGUGCGAGCGUUGUCCGGAUUUAUUGGGCGUAAAGGGCUCGUAGGUGGUUGAUCGCGUCGGAAGUGUAAUCUUGGGGCUUAACCCUGAGCGUGCUUUCGAUACGGGUUGACUUGAGGAAGGUAGGGGAGAAUGGAAUUCCUGGUGGAGCGGUGGAAUGCGCAGAUAUCAGGAGGAACACCAGUGGCGAAGGCGGUUCUCUGGGCCUUUCCUGACGCUGAGGAGCGAAAGCGUGGGGAGCGAACAGGCUUAGAUACCCUGGUAGUCCACGCUGUAAACGGUGGGUACUAGGUGUGGGGUCCAUUCCACGGGUUCCGUGCCGUAGCUAACGCUUUAAGUACCCCGCCUGGGGAGUACGGCCGCAAGGCUAAAACUCAAAGGAAUUGACGGGGCCCCGCACAAGCGGCGGAGCAUGCGGAUUAAUUCGAUGCAACGCGUAGAACCUUACCUGGGUUUGACAUGGAUCGGGAGUGCUCAGAGAUGGGUGUGCCUCUUUUGGGGUCGGUUCACAGGUGGUGCAUGGCUGUCGUCAGCUCGUGUCGUGAGAUGUUGGGUUAAGUCCCGCAACGAGCGCAACCCUUGUUCACUGUUGCCAGCACGUUAUGGUGGGGACUCAGUGGAGACCGCCGGGGUCAACUCGGAGGAAGGUGGGGAUGACGUCAAGUCAUCAUGCCCCUUAUGUCCAGGGCUUCACGCAUGCUACAAUGGCUGGUACAGAGAGUGGCGAGCCUGUGAGGGUGAGCGAAUCUCGGAAAGCCGGUCUCAGCUCGGACAGGGGUCUGCAACUCGACCUCAGGAAGUCGGAGUCGAUACGUAAUCGCAGAUCAGCAACGCUGCGGAGAAUGCGUUCCCGGG
This 1345-nucleotide ribosomal RNA is filed under the name uncultured bacterium. RNAcentral describes it as "16S ribosomal RNA". It matches the Rfam family "Bacterial small subunit ribosomal RNA", at positions 28 to 1378 of the family's 1533-position model. The record is from RNAcentral.